Molecule: non-coding RNA, 2858 nt
Organism: Arachis ipaensis
Lineage: Eukaryota; Viridiplantae; Streptophyta; Magnoliopsida; Fabales; Fabaceae
Source: RefSeq, a predicted model, not a curated record
UUAAUUUGAACAUUCACACGCACUCACACAAAUAAAACCCAGUCCUCUUUCCGUGGCUUCCUCCACCACCGCUUUCGUUGCGUCUACGUACUCCCAUCGUCGCAGAGCUCUCUCCGCCGCCGCUCUCGUCACUAUCGUCGCACGAGCUCUCUCCAUCACCACUUUCGUCGCGUCUGCUCCUUUCGUGAAUUUCAGGUAUACUCUGAUUUUGUGAUUAUGUUACUUAGGGCUCAAUUUUCUCUGCCAAUGCAAUUUUAGAUUUAUCCUACUUUGCUUCGUAAUCCAGCUUUGUAGUAUCUACAUAAACCGUUUCUAUCUUGUUGUUGAUGUUGAUUGAGCUUGUUGUAGUUGUAGCCAUGUUUGUGAUAAAAGAGGUUCAUCUUCACAUGCUGCUAUCAAAUUUAGUCCUGAUUUCUUUCCACAUUUCCUGUGUCUGGAUCGAUGAAAAUAAUCAAAUUGAAUUGUAGCUUCUAAGUUGAAUAAAUAGUGUUUUGAUUGUUAUUGGUAUGUCAAAAGAGAGCGGUCUACAAAGAUACCAAAUUGCAGGAACAAGGAGUGAGACUACAUAUUUGACAAAGAUGAAAUUUUGUACAACUGUAACUUUUCCCUCUGCGACCAAGCCCGACAAGUCAACCAGUAUUGUAAUUUCGUCUUGGUUCUAUUCUAUUCUAUUCUAUUCUGUUCUAUUCUAUUCAUCUUUGCAUUUAUGUGACAAAACUUUCUGAUUAUUAGUGAUGUUGAUUUGGAGCAGCUACAGUGUCAUGCAACUUAUUAUGGUCCCAGAGAAACAUUUGCAUCUAUUCUUCAAGAAAGCAAGAGCUGGAGACAAUCCUAAUGCAGAGGAGAGAUUGGAAGAGUUUGAUAAUGUGGAUAAUGCUCUCAAAGAGUUUACGAGACUCUUUGAAGAGAAUAAUGGUAACCAGUUUGAGCCUUGGGAAAGAGACGAGAAGUUCUGCAAAAAGCCACUCAAGUUCUACCCCAUUGACAUGGUAUGUGCUAAUGGAGAUGGGUUACGACUCGCCAGACCUUCCCAUAGGAAUGGUUGCACAGCUUCACUUGAAAAGAUGUAUGCAAUUUGGCAAUAUUUUUUUUCCUAAUUAUUUCUCUCAAAGUACUUUGAACAAGACUGACAAAAGAGGUACAUCAGGUGAAAAAGCACUGUUGGAGUUCAUAGAGAAAGUUAAGUCGUUAAAAGAGAAUUGAAGGAGGAGAGUGGACCAAAGGCUGAGGUUGUCUGGACAUAUAAAACUAUAUACACCACUGAUUUUUUCUUUUGAUAUAGGAAGGUUAUCCUUGUAUGUCAUCAUUUGAAUACAACAGGAAAAAGGGUUGAGAAUUUGGUGAUUAUAGGUUCAGGGCUUGCAGGGUAAGAAGUUAAGAAGGAACUUACAGAAAGGAUGUUGAAGAGGGCUUUGAUAUAACACUUGCAAAGCAUAAGGGACAGGUGGAAUAAUAAGAUUAGUCUUAGCAUUGGUUACAUUCAAGCAAAUUUCUUUCCUUUUUUAAUCCGUUGAUUAUUAUUUAUGCAUUUCUUUUGCUUUUCUUGUAUGAUUUCCUUUCUACAGUAUGCUCUAAGAAAAUUGUACCAUAAAAGUCCAAGGUUUAUAUGUGUAUUAUAUACAUUACCAACAUGUGGUCCAUGUAGGACACUCAAGCCAAUUCCGAUUUUUGUGACUACUACUAGGGUAAGAAUAGCAAGUUGGCCAAGGCUAGUCGAAUCGAUGUUUCCAAAAUGGCGCCUUCUACUGCUGCGCAGCAACAUGUUCGAGUUCACUGCAAAACAAAGAAUUUUCCAGAGCUAAGUCUUAAAUCCGAAGAUGCAUCUUGUUCAAUUAAUUUAGAAAAUAAUGCACUCAUUAGGCUAGGUGUGAUUUCACGUUACUUUUUAAUUUUUGUUUCAAAUACAGAGUAGUAGCUUAUUUGUUUGGCCAUAUGAGUUGCUCACUUAAAUUGCAUCAUCUCCGUAAAAAGUUUCCAACUUUUCAAAAAAUAUUUGUGCCCAAGUUGAAAUUCUGGCGAAGAGGUGUGUUGUUUUGUUUUCUUAGAUGUUUUCCGAUUUAGUUUAGUGAUAACAUUAGAUCCCCAAGUUAUCCAUGAAUAAAGUAGUAUCCAACACGUUAUAUAGACAACUAGUAUGACUCUUACCGUUGUACUUUUGAUUUUUAUGGACUCUGCUGGAGUUAUUCAGUUUGUAAUGAGUCUAAUGUUAACGCUUUGGCAAUUAUUGGGUGCAAUCUUUCUGAGUUCUUACAAGAGUAUGACAAGGUAAUUACUAGUGGGUCUCCUGGGUACUUCUUCUGUUGUGUUAUGUCUGACUAGGUCCACAAGAGUCAAUUAACGGUAAUAUAUUGUGUGAUGAUAUUUGGAUUACCUGCAAAGAAUUCUGUGCUGUGUAUUGUCAUUUCAUCAAGCAGGUAUACACAUUGUAUAGUAAUAUGUUUUCUUAUGUUAAAAGUUGGGUUGAUGAUAAUGAGAAAGUAUAUUCCGCUGUUACUUUUUCAGGUUUUUGAGAAAUAUAGAUUGGGACUAGACACUUUAUCUCACUGUGUAUUUCAUAGAUUGGUUUCUCUCUGAAAUUAUAUUGAAAGACAGAGACUUCAACUACUUGGGAUCACGUGCAUGUUAAUUGCCUUGAAGUAUGAAGAAAUUAUAGCUGAUAAUAGCUGAGGACUAUGAUGAUGAUGAGGAUGAAGAUGACACUGAAGAUUAUUGCUGAUAUUUUUAGUAUGGUUGAACAAUACACUGAGGAUUAUAGUUGAUGUAUCAAUACAUUUUGUUUAUGUUUUGAACUGACUUGCUUAUUUAUAAUACUUUUCUUCUAGGUUAAUAAUACGAUGAACUUGUUUAUUUCUUGACUA